This is a long non-coding RNA of Neopelma chrysocephalum (saffron-crested tyrant-manakin), 324 nucleotides long. RefSeq lists it as uncharacterized. NCBI's taxonomy places the organism in Eukaryota, Metazoa, Chordata, Aves, Passeriformes, Pipridae. The transcript has 3 exons. The record is from RefSeq and is a predicted model, not a curated record.
CUAGUGCCAAAGUACCCGGCAAGAAGCAAACCAAGUGAUCCUGCACGACAAGACAACUCUUACUGCAGAGAAGUUAUGCAUCAAACAGAUUAUCCUAUCCUGAAAUAUGUGCCUCGUCCCAGAGACUAUAAUUCAAAGACUUUCAGAUUCUGAAGGCUAAUUAGCAUGAAGACUGCCAUGGUGGAGUAAGGACACUGAAAGGCUUGCAUGUUCUUGUCUGGACUGGCUCUUCUACAGCCCUGAUGGUACUGUGUCGGGUCUUCAGCCUUGUGUCCCUCUGUGGUGCCUUGAUCUGAAGAUUGGAAGGACCACGACGAACACGAG